CGCAGACAGUUUUCAUUCCCAUUCUUCAAAGAGGAAGAUGAAUUCUGAGACACCGACAAUGCAAAGCAGGAGACCAAAGUAGGGCGACACUCAUUUUCCUCUCAAUAACAUGACCUCGUUUCCCUUGUGGCUGGAUAAAACUCCAUUGUACGGACUCAUCACGCUUCCUUCAUCCAUCUUGACGACAGCCACGUGGGUGACAGGCGAGAUGGAAUCCCAGCGCAGUUUUUAAUCGACAUUUCCCUGCUAGGUCAGAAUGUGUUGGUUUUAUUUCUAUGUAUUAUUACAGCGUGUAUACUGUGAAGGGAAGGGUUGUCGUGCACAUGCUUCGGCACAUGUGGAUGCGAAGACGGUUUUGUUGGCUCUUUCCACAUUUACUCGGGAUCAGACUGGUGUUACCGGCUCUGGCCGCAAGUACCUCAGCUGCCGAGCUACCUCACCAGCCACGGACUGGCUGCCCCUGACAACUGUCCAAUCCGCAUGCUCCUUCGUUACCUUCAUGAGUUCUUUAUACAAAGCACUAACUUCGAUGUUUCAUUAAUGAAUUCGAUGUUUUGUUUUCUGUGCACUGA
This 572-nucleotide long non-coding RNA is filed under the name Rattus norvegicus (Norway rat). RNAcentral's name for it is "long non-coding RNA NONRATT018816". The record is from RNAcentral. Lineage: Eukaryota; Metazoa; Chordata; Mammalia; Rodentia; Muridae.